Non-coding RNA from Pimephales promelas (fathead minnow), 403 nucleotides. The record is from RefSeq and is a predicted model, not a curated record. NCBI's taxonomy places the organism in Eukaryota, Metazoa, Chordata, Actinopteri, Cypriniformes, Leuciscidae.
AUUUAGCUGUAAAUAAAAUGACCCACAUGAUGACCUUUCACCUGAUUCCUCACGCUGCACGCGCAUUUUUUAAUUUCGCGCGGCUACGCGCAAUCGCGCAUUCCCAGAGGAUAGCUUCAACUCUUGCGGCUGCUGUCUCAGAUCAACUCCAGCAGUAUCAGCAGCAGUAACAACAUCAACAGCAAAGGCAGCAAACUCACUUAAUGACUUGAGUAAGAAUUUACCAGAACAGGCAUCACAUUAAUGUUAAAAAUCUUGUAAAGUAUUAAUUGCUGUUUCUGUUUGCUUUGUUUUUUAUUUUCAUUGUAUAAAAUGUAACUCUUGUAUUUUUGUAAAUCACUUUUUGCCAUGAAAAUAGCCACAGAUGCUGAUAUGCCAUUAAAUAAAACCAUACUGUACUGCA